GAUGAACGCUGGCGGCGUGCCUAAUACAUGCAAGUCGAGCGAACGGACGAGAAGCUUGCUUCUCUGAUGUUAGCGGCGGACGGGUGAGUAACACGUGGAUAACCUACCUAUAAGACUGGGAUAACUUCGGGAAACCGGAGCUAAUACCGGAUAAUAUUUUGAACCGCAUGGUUCAAAAGUGAAAGACGGUCUUGCUGUCACUUAUAGAUGGAUCCGCGCUGCAUUAGCUAGUUGGUAAGGUAACGGCUUACCAAGGCAACGAUGCAUAGACGACGUGAGAGGGUGAUCGCCCACCUUGGAACGUGAACACGGUCCUGGCUCCUAAGGGAGGCCGCAGUAGGGAAUCUUCCGCAAUGGGCGAAAGCCUUACGGAGCAACGCCGCGUGAGUGAUGAAGGCCCUCGGAUCGUAAAACUCUGUUAUUAGGUAAAAACAUAUGUGUAAGUAACUGUGCACAUCUUGACGGUACCUAAUCAGAAAGCCACGGCUAACUACGUG
RNAcentral lists this ribosomal RNA (497 nucleotides) under uncultured bacterium. RNAcentral's name for it is "partial 16S ribosomal RNA". It matches the Rfam family "Bacterial small subunit ribosomal RNA", at positions 28 to 507 of the family's 1533-position model. The record is from RNAcentral.